GAAAAGGAUGUGGGAUUUCGAAGACAGCUAGGAUGUUGGCUCAGAAGCAGCCAUACAUUCAAAGAGUGCGUAAUAGCUCACUAGUCGAGAGGUCCUGCGCCGAAAAUGUCCGGGGCUGAAACAUGCCGCCGAAGCUGAGGGAUGCACGUGAGUGCAUCGGUAGGGGAGCAUUCCUGCAGGGAAGAAGCUGUACCGUAAGGGGCAGUGGACAUGCAGGAAGAGAGAAUGCCGGAAUGAGUAGCGAGAGGAAGGUGGGAAUCCUUCCGGCCGAAUAUCCAAGGUUUCCAGGGUAAAGCUGAUCUGCCCUGGGUAAGUCGGGGCCUAAGGCGAGGCCGAAAGGCGUAGCCGAUGGACAACAGGUUGAAAUUCCUGUACUGCUGUAUGACAGAACUGUGGGGACACGUGUGGAGAGCAUAGCCGGGGAAUGGAAAGACCCGGGCAAGCGGGGUAGGAGUCCUGCCGGAAAAACCGCAGGGCAAUCCGAAGACGUGAUGCGGACCGAAAGAGAGUAGGGAAGUAUGCGAGCCAUGCGUCAAGAAAAGCCGCUAUUGUUCAUAGAGCACCCGUACCGUAAACCGACACAGGUGGAUGAGGAGAGAAUCCUAAGGCCGACGGAAGAAGCAUUGCCAAGGAACUCGGCAAAAUGACCCCGUAACUUCGGGAGAAGGGGUGCCCCAGAGAUGGGGCCGCAGAGAAUUGGCCCAAGCAACUGUUUAGCAAAAACACAGGUCUAUGCAAAACCGCAAGGUGAGGUAUAUGGGCUGACGCCUGCCCGGUGCUGGAAGGUUAAGGGGAGGGGUUAGCGCAAGCGAAGCCCUGAUCUUAAGCCCCAGUAAACGGCGGCCGUAACUAUAACGGUCCUAAGGUAGCGAAAUUCCUUGUCGGGUAAGUUCCGACCCGCACGAAAGGCGUAAUGAUUUGGGCACUGUCUCGGCAAUGCAUCCGGUGAAAUUGAAGUACCAGUGAAGAUGCUGGUUACCCGCGCCAGGACGGAAAGACCCCAUGGAGCUUUACUCCAGUUUGGCACUGGGAUCCGGUAUUGCAUGUACAGGAUAGGUGGGAGGCAUGGAAAGGGUUACGCCAGUAGCCCCGGAGCCGAUGUUGGGAUACCACCCCUGCAGUAUUGGG
This 1128-nucleotide ribosomal RNA is filed under the name Lachnospiraceae bacterium. RNAcentral's name for it is "partial 23S ribosomal RNA". It matches the Rfam family "Bacterial large subunit ribosomal RNA", at positions 1066 to 2218 of the family's 2925-position model. Lineage: Bacteria; Bacillati; Bacillota; Clostridia; Lachnospirales; Lachnospiraceae. The record is from RNAcentral.